RNAcentral lists this non-coding RNA (205 nucleotides) under uncultured Blautia sp. Lineage: Bacteria; Bacillati; Bacillota; Clostridia; Lachnospirales; Lachnospiraceae. The record is from RNAcentral.
AAGCUGUUAACCACAGCAUUUGAAGCGAGUCUUGGGUGCGUUGCAGUAAUGUAACGUACUAAGCGUAGACAGCAAGGUAGUAGGGAUAGCUAUUGAGCACCGAAAUCCCAAGUAUUUCCAGAGUGCCGACUCUGUGGUCUGAGGGGAAGGCAAUAUGUGGGUUUAUCGAUACGGUGAGAUUUCACACAGCUCUGCGGUGUCGGAA